GACGAACGCUGGCGGCGUGCUUAACACAUGCAAGUCGAACGGUGAACGAGGGAGCUUGCUCCCUCCGGAUCAGUGGCGAACGGGUGAGUAACACGUGAGCAAUCUGCCCCGAACUCUGGGAUAAGCGUUGGAAACGACGUCUAAUACCGGAUACGACGCGGGAGGGCAUCCUCUCCGCGUGGAAAGAACUUCGGUUCGGGAUGAGCUCGCGGCCUAUCAGCUUGUUGGUGAGGUAACGGCUCACCAAGGCGACGACGGGUAGCCGGCCUGAGAGGGUGACCGGCCACACUGGGACGGAGCAACGGCCCAGACCCAGCGGGGGGGAGGCGGGGGGGAUGAUGGCAAAUGGGGCGCAGGCCGGAUGCAGCAAGGCGGGGGGAGGAGGGCCGGCUUUGGGUUGGAAAACCUCUUUAAGCGGGAAAGAAGGGAAAGGGAGGGUCCCGAAAAAAAAGGCCCGGACAAACAAGGUC
RNAcentral lists this ribosomal RNA (470 nucleotides) under uncultured bacterium. Its description in RNAcentral is "partial 16S ribosomal RNA". It matches the Rfam family "Bacterial small subunit ribosomal RNA", at positions 28 to 508 of the family's 1533-position model. The record is from RNAcentral.